RNAcentral lists this transfer RNA (85 nucleotides) under Felis catus (domestic cat). It matches the Rfam family "tRNA". Rfam says of the family: Transfer RNA (tRNA) molecules are approximately 80 nucleotides in length. Their secondary structure includes four short double-helical elements and three loops (D, anti-codon, and T loops). The record is from Rfam by way of RNAcentral. Lineage: Eukaryota; Metazoa; Chordata; Mammalia; Carnivora; Felidae.
GCCUGGAUGGCUCAGUCGGUUGAGCGUCCGACUUCAGCUCAGGUCAUGAUCUCAUGGUUUGUGAGUUCAAGCCCCGCGUCAGGCU